ACUGCUCAGUAACACGUGGACAACCUGCCCUUAGGUUGGGUAUAAACCCGGGAAACUGGGUAUAAUACCCGAUAGGUCUCGAUUGCUGGAAUGCAUCGAGAUUUAAAGCUCCGGCGCCUAAGGAUGGGUCUGCGGCCUAUCAGGUAGUAGUGGGUGUAGCGUACCUACUAGCCUACGACGGGUACGGGUUGUGAGAGCAAGAGCCCGGAGAUGGAUUCUGAGACACGAAUCCAGGCCCUACGGGGUGCAGCAGGCGCGAAAACUUUACAAUGCUGGCAACAGCGAUAAGGGAACCUCGAGUGCCAGGUUACAAAUCUGGCUGUCGAGAUGCCUAAAAAGCAUUUCAUAGCAAGGGCCGGGCAAGACCGGUGCCAGCCGCCGCGGUAACACCGGCGGCUCGAGUGGUAACCGUUAUUAUUGGGUCUAAAGGGUCUGUAGCCGGCCGGAUAAGUCUCUUGAGAAAUCCGGCAGCUUAACUGUCAGGCUUUCAGGAGAUACUGUCUGGCUCGAGGCCGGGAGAGGUGAGAGGUACUUCAGGGGUAGGGGUGAAAUCUUGUAAUCCUCGAAGGACCACCAGUGGCGAAGGCGUCUCACCAGAACGGACCUGACGGCAAGGGACGAAAGCUAGGGGCACGAACCGGAUUAGAUACCCGGGUAGUCCUAGCCGUAAACGAUACUCGCUAGGUGUCGGCCACGGUGCGACCGUUGUCGGUGCCGUAGGGAAGCCGUGAAGCGAGCCACCUGGGAAGUACGGCCGCAAGGCUGAAACUUAAAGGAAUUGGCGGGGGAGCAC
Molecule: ribosomal RNA, 793 nt
Filed under: uncultured archaeon
Lineage: Archaea
Description: bacterial SSU rRNA
Rfam family: Archaeal small subunit ribosomal RNA
Source: RNAcentral